GAUGAAGAACGUAGCGAAAUGCGAUACGUAAUGUGAAUUGCAGAAUUCAGUGAAUCAUCGAAUCUUUGAACGCAUAUUGCGCUCUCUGGUAUUCCGGAGAGCAUGCUUGUUUGAGUAUCAGUAAACACCUCAACUCCCCUUUCUUUUUCUGAAAUGGGAGCUGGACUUGAGUGAUCCCAACGCUUUUCUCACCGAAAAGUGGCGGGUUACUUGAAAUGCAGGUGCAGCUGGACUUUUCUCUGAGCUAAAAGCAUAUCUAUUUAGUCUGCCUAAAAAACAGAUUAUUACCUUUGCUGCAGCUAACAUAAAGGAGAUUAGUUCUUGUGCUGACUGAUGCAGGAUUCACAGAGACAGCUUCGGCUGGCCUUUGUAAACUCGAUCUCAAAUCAAGUAAGACUACCCGCUGAACUUAAGCAUAUCAAUAAGCGGAGGA
RNAcentral lists this unclassified non-coding RNA (433 nucleotides) under soil metagenome. Its description in RNAcentral is "partial contains 5.8S ribosomal RNA, internal transcribed spacer 2, and large subunit ribosomal RNA". The stretch from base 1 to 120 matches the Rfam family "5.8S ribosomal RNA", at positions 35 to 154 of the family's 154-position model. The record is from RNAcentral.